RNAcentral lists this ribosomal RNA (482 nucleotides) under uncultured bacterium. RNAcentral's name for it is "partial 16S ribosomal RNA". It matches the Rfam family "Bacterial small subunit ribosomal RNA", at positions 30 to 507 of the family's 1533-position model. The record is from RNAcentral.
AUUGAACGCUGGCGGCAUGCUUUACACAUGCAAGUCGAACGGUAACAGGCCGCAAGGUGCUGACGAGUGGCGAACGGGUGAGUAAUGCAUCGGAACGUGCCCAGUCGUGGGGGAUAACUACUCGAAAGAGUAGCUAAUACCGCAUACGAUCUAUGGAUGAAAGCGGGGGACCGUAAGGCCUCGCGCGAUUGGAGCGGCCGAUGUCAGAUUAGGUAGUUGGUGGGGUAAAGGCUCACCAAGCCAACGAUCUGUAGCUGGUCUGAGAGGACGACGAGCCACACUGGGACUGAGACACGGCCCAGACUCCUACGGGAGGCAGCAGUGGGGAAUGUUGGACAAUGGGCGCAAGCCUGAUCCAGCAAUGCCGCGUGCAGGAAGAAGGCCUUCGGGUUGUAAACUGCUUUUGUACGGAACGAAACGGCUCUGGUUAAUACCCGGGGCUAAUGACGGUACCGUAAGAAUAAGCACCGGCUAACUACGUG